This is a long non-coding RNA of Pangasianodon hypophthalmus (striped catfish), 2028 nucleotides long. RefSeq lists it as uncharacterized. Lineage: Eukaryota; Metazoa; Chordata; Actinopteri; Siluriformes; Pangasiidae. The record is from RefSeq and is a predicted model, not a curated record. The transcript has 2 exons.
GAGGAGUCAGACCAGGUUUUGGGGAGAGGAGAGGGUUCAGGAGGGUUAGAUGGGCCAGGGGGUGGGAUAAGGAGAAAGACUGGAUCAGGGAGUGGGUUUCGGGGAAAGGAACCCCUCUUCUGAGGAGCAGGUAGGUAGGAGGCAGGGAGUAGAUGAAGGGGGGUCUGCGCCUGGAUAAGCUGCGAAUUGGUCCUCAGCUAGUUGUACCGCCUCCUCCAGUGAGCCAGCCAGUGGCCCAUUCUGCUGUUCCCUCCAGUAGUCUGGUGACAAACUGCUCCAGUACCAUGUGCAGUUCAAGGAGGGCCUGAUGUUGAGUCUGGUGAAUGGUAUGGUUGAUCUCGGUGAGGGCUGAGCACUCCAUGGCAGCAUAUCAUCCUCAAGCUCCCGGGUUUUGGAAACCAGUGUUGGCGUGGGGAUGAUGAAGCGGGAGGCAGGGUUGCGACAACUCUAAAGGGCUUUUAUUGUCACUUUUCUUCCUGGCCAUGCUUUCCAGCACUUUCUGUCUUAUGGUCUCACCCCAAGAUACACCAACAUAUACACACACAGUGCAGUUCAGCUCAGCUGUCUCUCGUGUGGCUCCCAUCUCUUCCCUAUAUCUCCUCGCUGCCAUUCACUAAAAUCAGAGCCCUCAUUUGUCAAUCAUCAUCUAUUCAUAGUGCCCUCCAUUAACAAACUGGCACUCAACUACACCCCCAUUGACACAGUGAAAUAAGCCUGGUCUACUGACAAUUCUUUAAGCAUUUUGCUCAAGUUAGCAAGUUUUUUUUCUGUGUUUUAGGUUGUGUUCAUACGUAUACAUAUAGUCAAAUUAACAUUGUGUUGGCCUUUCAGCUUUGCUGUGCUUUAUUAAUUAUUAAUUUGUUAAUGCCACUUUCAAAUCUUUCUAUACAUCCCUAUACAAACCAGAAUCUUCAACUGAUAAUUAGAGCAAUUACUGAUUUUUUACAGAAUCUCAAGACUUUUACAAUUGAUUCAAGAUUUUUUAAAUUUUUUUAAAUAGAAACAAUCACUGCAAGUUAUAUACUGCAUAUAAUUGUGUAUGUGACAAAUAAAAAAAAAAUCUUGAAUCAGUUGUAAAGCAUCUAAACAUCUUGAUGCCCCUUUAAGUACAGAAUAAAUUGAAUUGUGUCAUGGUAGCGGUGAAUACUGAGCAGAACUAUGAUACCCAUUAGCCCCUGCACAUCACCUGACCAUGACACUCACUAUGUCACAUGAAUGUUCGCACCUGAUUCACGUUUAUAUUUAAUGAGCACUGUAUUUUAAGCCCUGGUUUUCACAUGUUCCAUUGUCUAGCUUUUGUCUUUUGUUGUCAUGGGCACCAUCUGCCACCUCUGCUACUAAAACCUGACAGAAAGCUAGAUCUAACCAUGGAUGCAGCAGAUUUGCUCAAGGGCCAGCAAGAACUCUUGGAGAAGAACUGCCUAAUGUGGGAACAACAGGGAACUCAGAGGACGUUGCUACAGCUCAUAGCUUCACUAUGGGCAUCGCCCCAUCUCCCUGCUCCACUGAGGACAUCACUAUGCUGUCCAGCUCCAUUUCAGCAUGUGUGUGUCUGUCAUGGUAGUGGUGAAUAUGGAACAGAACUAUGACACCCAUCAGCCCCUGUACAUCACCUGACCAUGACACUCACUAUGUCACAUGAAUGUUCACACCUGAUUCAUGUUUAUGUUUAAACAGCACUGUGUUUAAAGCCCUGGUCUUCAUAUGUUCCAUUGUGUAGCUUUUGUCUUCUGAUGUUGGGUGCACCCUCUGGUCUAUGUACAGUAUUUGCCUCGAGAUCAUAGUUCAUGUUUAAGAUUCUAUGAUUUAUGUUGUUUGUGUUGUUCAUGUUUUGUGUUAAAAUUAACUUUAUUUAAAGAAAUUUCAGAAGAAACGGGCACCACUAUUUCUGUCAGUACUACCAUUACUUCUUUAUUCUCCUCUCCUACCAUCUCUAAAUAUUGAAAUUGCUAUAUAACUACACGUACAUAUGAAUAUAUUUCUGGACAGCUCACAUGUAGGCUCAUAAAAUAAAAAAAUAUUAGUGCU